Molecule: long non-coding RNA, 456 nt
Organism: Prunus dulcis (almond)
Lineage: Eukaryota; Viridiplantae; Streptophyta; Magnoliopsida; Rosales; Rosaceae
Exons: 3
Source: RefSeq, a predicted model, not a curated record
CCAAAAUUGAAACAACUCUGCUUUUACGACAUGUCGAAUUGGGAAGAGUGGGAAGGCGUGGAAGACUGGACCAAAGAAGAUUCUGAAAUUACAAUCAUGCCAUCCCUUUCUGAGUUAAGAAUUCUCGACUGCAAAUUGCUAAAAGCACUGCCAGACUUCAUCUUCAAAACACCACUGCGGACUCUUGACAUCAGCACAUGUCGGAGACUUGCAGAGCAUUACGAAGAAGGCAAUGGAGAGUGGGCCAAGAUUUCUGCUAAGAUCCCAAACAUCCGCAUUUCCUCCUGUGAUCACUUGCUUGUGAAACAACUGGCUCGUAUAAUAAUUGAGAUGGCGACUCGCUAAAACUGGACCCUAUUGAAGCAAUUAGAGUGAUGUAAAUCAUCAACUGUCAGCCUACGGAAGUUCCAAUAACUGAAAUUUUGAUUAUUUUCAUCACUGCCUUGACAGAGACAU